AGAUAAAUGGUCGCAGCUGAUGUAAAUCAGGUGAGGAAAGUCCGGGCUUUAUAGGGCAGGAUGCCGGAUAACAUCCGGUGGAGGUGACUCCAAGGCUAGUGCAACAGAAAUAUACCGCCAGUCUAGACUGGUAAGGGUGGAAGGGCAGUGUAAGAGACUACCGCCUUUUAGGUAACUAAGAGGGCAUAUGUAAACCCCAUCCAAAGCAAGACCGAACAAAAGCAUAUGGCGGCCCGUCAGCUUUAGGUAGGUUGCUGGAGCCUAUUGGUAACAAUAGGCCUAGAUAGAUGACCAUUCGCGACAUAACCCGGCUUAUCGUCUUGCUUU
RNAcentral lists this RNase P RNA (327 nucleotides) under chicken gut metagenome. RNAcentral's name for it is "Bacterial RNase P class A". It matches the Rfam family "Bacterial RNase P class A". From Rfam's summary of the family: Ribonuclease P (RNase P) is a ubiquitous endoribonuclease, found in archaea, bacteria and eukarya as well as chloroplasts and mitochondria. Its best characterised activity is the generation of mature 5'-ends of tRNAs by cleaving the 5'-leader elements of precursor-tRNAs. Cellular RNase Ps are ribonucleoproteins. The record is from RNAcentral.